CAAAAACAUCGCCUCUUGAUAAUAAAUACGAGAGGUUGGGCCUGCCCGGUGAAUAACUAUUUAAACGGCCGCAGUGGAUAACUGUGCUAAGGUAGCGUAAUAAAUUGUCUCUUAAUUGGAGAAGGGUAUGAAUGGUUUGACGUGGUAGUUUCUGUCUCAAUGGUAAUAUUAUGAAGUUUUCUUUUGAGUUAAAAGUCUCAAAUUUAGAUAAAAGACGAGAAGACCCUGUCGAGCUUAAUAAAAUUGUAAAGAGUUUUUAUAUAAUAAAUUUAACUGGGGCAGUUGAGAACCAAUAAAUAGUUCUUUGUUAUUUAAAGAUCCGGUUUUACCGAACAUAAGAAAAAGCUACCGCAGGGAUAACAGCGUUAUCCUCUCUGAGAGAACUAAUUGAAGAGGGGGUUUGCGACCUCGAUGUUGGAUUAAAGUUUCUUUUUGGUGCAGCAG
This 444-nucleotide ribosomal RNA is filed under the name Ensis directus. RNAcentral describes it as "partial 16S ribosomal RNA". It matches the Rfam family "Bacterial large subunit ribosomal RNA", at positions 1808 to 2561 of the family's 2925-position model. The record is from RNAcentral. Lineage: Eukaryota; Metazoa; Mollusca; Bivalvia; Adapedonta; Pharidae.